RNAcentral lists this long non-coding RNA (199 nucleotides) under Carica papaya (papaya). Its description in RNAcentral is "long non-coding RNA (CPAP_LNC005452)". The record is from RNAcentral. Lineage: Eukaryota; Viridiplantae; Streptophyta; Magnoliopsida; Brassicales; Caricaceae.
UUAUCACGUCAUGUCGUCCAUCUGUCGCUCGUCACAUCUCAUCAUUUCACAUUGACUUUCUUUCUCUUCACCAGAUUUUGCCACUUGUUAUAAAUCUAACGAUCCCUAUUUUAUAUAAAUAGGGACCCUCAUUUAACCAUUUCCUCAUCACUUCCACUUUAUUCUUCCAUCCACCAAAGAGUUUUAGAAAGAGAGGGAG